This is a long non-coding RNA of Pseudopipra pipra, 969 nucleotides long. RefSeq lists it as uncharacterized. The record is from RefSeq and is a predicted model, not a curated record. The transcript has 3 exons. Lineage: Eukaryota; Metazoa; Chordata; Aves; Passeriformes; Pipridae.
CCCAGGCCAUUCUGUUAGAGUGUGUUUUCAGGCUCCCCAGAGCCUCCUCCGUUCAGUCUCGCCGUAUCCUCCGUCUUCUCGUGCGGCAGCACAUCCAUUUUGGCGUCGUUCCUUUCUCAGAGUUCUCUCUCCUGGUUGCACCACAGCACUUGUCUGGAAAUGUGUCCUUGGAGUUUGUGUUGGGCCUGGAACUGCUCUGCCCUGCAGUGUAGACUUGGGGGUAGGUGGAGUAGAAAGGAGACUUGCCAGUUACCCCGUGGAUAGGCUCAGGCACUGAGGGCAGGGCCUUAAAGUGAGGUCAGUGUUUGUUUGUGCAGGUUGUCUUUGGACCCCAGAGGGCUUGUCUAAAGAGAAAUUAGAAUUGCACAGCAGUUAAUGUCCCCCUGUCUAUAUGUUUGACUUUGGUAACUCAUUUCUUUGCAGUGUCAGAGGGACUGGAUGUAAAGCAGAGAUGAACAGAGGAGGCUGGAGGAGCACAGUCAGAAGAUGCAGAGCUCUCAGCCCAGCAGAGGACAGGCACCAGAGGGAAGGUGAGCCCGGUGAGGAAGGCAAUGCACCGACUUCUAACGUGCAGUCCAACGUGACAGGGACCCUGCCUGUAAGAGGUCACGGUCAAGGGGAGUCAGACAGAAACUGCCAUGGGAGCAGCAAACUCUUGGGCAGUAUCUAAGUACUCACACUUGUCUCUGGGUUUUUUUGCAGGAGACGUAGGCAGCCUCAGAUGGCCGAAGCCAACUCACAGUGAGGUGAUGGACACAGUUUGGUCCUCUGGAGCUGUCCUUGUAGGUAAUCUCCGAGUAUUGAAAGGAUCAGCAAUGAAGGAUUGAGCUUUUUGGAUUGCAGGUGCCAUCCAGGUAACCUUUGGGAGCCGAUGAGCAUUGGAGGUGAGUCGGGGAGGCAGCAGGAGGAGCAGGAAUCCACUGCAGCUUUAGAGAUGCCCUCUAAUUUUGUCUCUAUUUCUCUCAGGUG